RNAcentral lists this small nucleolar RNA (118 nucleotides) under Castor canadensis (American beaver). RNAcentral describes it as "Small nucleolar RNA SNORA51 (ENSCCNG00000020130.1)". It matches the Rfam family "Small nucleolar RNA SNORA51". From Rfam's summary of the family: ACA51 is a member of the H/ACA class of snoRNA that guide the sites of modification of uridines to pseudouridines. Lineage: Eukaryota; Metazoa; Chordata; Mammalia; Rodentia; Castoridae. The record is from Rfam by way of RNAcentral.
GGCCUCCCAGUGCUUGCCACAGGCUGUGUUCUUACACUGACUGUAUAGAUAUAGGAGACAAAGCAAACCUACCCCUGGUGCCCUGUGCUUGAUCUGUAUUGUGAAUGGGGAGACCUGG